This 301-nucleotide ribosomal RNA is filed under the name uncultured bacterium. Its description in RNAcentral is "partial 16S ribosomal RNA". It matches the Rfam family "Bacterial small subunit ribosomal RNA", at positions 509 to 807 of the family's 1533-position model. The record is from RNAcentral.
CAGUAGCCGCGGGAAUACGGAGGGGGCUAGCGUUGUUCGGAAUUACUGGGCGUAAAGCGCACGUAGGCGGCUUGGUAAGUUAGAGGUGAAAGCCUGGAGCUCAACUCCAGAAUUGCCUUUAAGACUGCCGAGCUAGCAGGUGAGAGAGGUAAGUGGAAUUCCGAAUGUAGAGGUGAAAUUCGUGGAUAUUCGGAAGAACACCAGUGGCGAAGGCGGCUUACUGGCUCAUACUGGACGCUGAGGUGCGAAAGCGUGGGGAGCAAACAGGAUUAGAUACCCGUGUAGUCCCUGUCUCUUAUAC